This 469-nucleotide ribosomal RNA is filed under the name Escherichia coli. RNAcentral describes it as "bacterial SSU rRNA". It matches the Rfam family "Bacterial small subunit ribosomal RNA", at positions 30 to 487 of the family's 1533-position model. The record is from RNAcentral. Lineage: Bacteria; Pseudomonadati; Pseudomonadota; Gammaproteobacteria; Enterobacterales; Enterobacteriaceae.
AUUGAACGCUGGCGGCAGGCCUAACACAUGCAAGUCGAACGGUAACAGGAAGCAGCUUGCUGCUUCGCUGACGAGUGGCGGACGGGUGAGUAAUGUCUGGGAAGCUGCCUGAUGGAGGGGGAUAACUACUGGAAACGGUAGCUAAUACCGCAUAAUGUCGCAAGACCAAAGAGGGGGACCUUCGGGCCUCUUGCCAUCGGAUGUGCCCAGAUGGGAUUAGCUUGUUGGUGGGGUAACGGCUCACCAAGGCGACGAUCCCUAGCUGGUCUGAGAGGAUGACCAGCCACACUGGAACUGAGACACGGUCCAGACUCCUACGGGAGGCAGCAGUGGGGAAUAUUGCACAAUGGGCGCAAGCCUGAUGCAGCCAUGCCGCGUGUAUGAAGAAGGCCUUCGGGUUGUAAAGUACUUUCAGCGGGGAGGAAGGGAGUAAAGUUAAUACCUUUGCUCAUUGACGUACCCGCAGGAG